AUUGAACGCUGGCGGCAUGCCUUACACAUGCAAGUCGAACGGCAGCACGGGAGCAAUCCUGGUGGCGAGUGGCGAACGGGUGAGUAAUACAUCGGAACGUGCCCAGUAGUGGGGGAUAACCCGGCGAAAGCCGGACUAAUACCGCAUACGACCUACGGGUGAAAGCAGGGGAUCGCAAGACCUUGCGCUAUCGGAGCGGCCGAUGUCAGAUUAGCUAGUUGGUGGGGUAAAAGCCACCAAGGCGACGAUCUGUAGCUGGUCUGAGAGGAUGAUCAGCCACACUGGGACUGAGACACGGCCCAGACUCCUACGGGAGGCAGCAGUGGGGAAUAUUGGACAAUGGGCGCAAGCCUGAUCCAGCCAUGCCGCGUGAGUGAUGAA
Molecule: ribosomal RNA, 381 nt
Filed under: uncultured bacterium
Lineage: Bacteria
Description: bacterial SSU rRNA
Rfam family: Bacterial small subunit ribosomal RNA
Source: RNAcentral